This 253-nucleotide ribosomal RNA is filed under the name uncultured bacterium. RNAcentral's name for it is "partial 16S ribosomal RNA". It matches the Rfam family "Bacterial small subunit ribosomal RNA", at positions 524 to 776 of the family's 1533-position model. The record is from RNAcentral.
UACAGAGGUCUCAAGCGUUGUUCGGAUUCAUUGGGCGUAAAGGGUGCGUAGGUGGCGCGGUAAGUCGGGUGUGAAAUUUCGGAGCUUAACUCCGAAACUGCAUUCGAUACUGCCGUGCUUGAGGACUGGAGAGGAGACUGGAAUUUACGGUGUAGCAGUGAAAUGCGUAGAGAUCGUAAGGAAGACCAGUGGCGAAGGCGAGUCUCUGGAAAGCUGCUGACGCUGAGGCACGAAGGCCAGGGGAGCAAACGGG